UCUCAUCGGCCAAUCUCAGCCAGUGACACAGAUAUAUGACAGGGCUAAGCUAUCCAAAAGCUAACGUCAUGCUCGCUUGAGACAUUUUCCAGCCCGGUUUAGAGAGGAGACAUUUUGCGAGCAUAUGUAGCCCACAGUGGGCCUGUGCAUGCAGAGAAAAGGUUUCGGGCUCGCUGUCUUUGUCGCUGCGCACGCUAGCUGCGCAGUUUCCGUAAAAGGUUACAAGGAUGGCUCCGCCGUCGGGGAGCGAGGUUCACGCCGUCGACGUAACCCGCGAGGGAGAAUAGGAAAACUGUGAACGCGUAAACGGCGAAUCUGGGGUGGCCGAGUUCACCAAUCACAGAGGGUAUCCUUCAGAAAUGGGCGUUGACCGUGCGCAUCUGGUCCAAUGAGAGCGACGCUCUUGAGCACCACAUGGCACAAUUUGCCUGGCACCGCCCUCGCGACUUCAAAGGCUUUUCCCCAUGCCGCGACAGGGACAAUGGGCGGGUCUGCUUCCAGGAUUGAUGAGUAGGUCGGCCAAUGGGGGUCCUACAUCCGACUGUCAGUUCAAACGGACCCAGCUGUCACGGAGCACCGGUGGUCAUGCAGCACUGUUGCUAUGUUAGUCACAAAAGCCCAUCCUCUCGUUUUUCUUCCACACCUUUUUAUGCUCUCAGCCCUCUGGCACAUACAUUUAAUUACUGGCAUAAUGCUUAGUAAUUGUAAUAAAGUGUGUGUGCAUAUGUGUGCAUGGCUGCCUUGUCAUGGCAACACUUCAUUCAGGUUAAUUUCACCUCUAUCUUUAUAUGGUAGCCUUAUACUUUCUAGUAAGGUUAUAAAGGAUUUAUAUGUUGUGACUAAUUGCUUUAUUAAUGGUAGGCUAAAUAAAUAAUUUAUGCUUAUGCUUUGCUUUUUUCUCUCUUUAAGUUUAUGCACAUCAUCAUAUCACUCCCUUUGCACUACCAUCAGCCCCACUACUACCAACUUCUAGUGAUAUAAUACAGUUAUACUGUACAUAUUGUAUAUAUACAUACGUGUAUAUACAUUGUAUAGGCUAUAUACAUUUCCUUUGUAAAAUAAAGAGCACAUUCUUCUUUUUUGUGCCAUUAUAACUGUUUUUUUUAUUAGCUUGUUCUAUUUAGAAUUUUUACUUAAGAUGAGUUUUUUGCACAUGUUAUGUGUGCAUAUCAUGGCAUUAUUUCACUGUCCAUUCCUGUAUUGUGUGAGAAUAAAGCUGAACCUUCAUUGUAGGUACUAACACAUUUUGGGUUGCAAUGUUGUAAAAACCCAUUUUGUUGUUUUGUUGUUAAUAACAAAGUUGUUUGGUCCACAUCCUCUGCAGCCGUUUUUGCAAGGUGGUUAUACUGUACAAUUAGUCAAAAGGAUUUUUCACAAUCUGGCAACCCAAAAAUGUUUAACUGAACAACAAAGUAUUAGUAAAUGAUUUAUUAACCAUUAAUAAAGCCAUUAGUUACAACUUUUAACCCCAUUAUAAAAGAUUACUUAUUAGAAAGUGCUAUCCUUUAUGCUUCUCCAGUGACCUAAAACCACUUGAGGUGAGGCCUGCAGAACUAAUCGCCGUCUGUUAUUCAGUUUGUUUGUUGAAAGUUCAAGGAUGUAGUGUAAAGCCAUGGUAUAAUGUGUUUUUUUGAGAAAUAAAUAUAUGUCUAAUUAA
Molecule: long non-coding RNA, 1657 nt
Organism: Dicentrarchus labrax (European seabass)
Lineage: Eukaryota; Metazoa; Chordata; Actinopteri; Moronidae
Exons: 2
Source: RefSeq, a predicted model, not a curated record